RNAcentral lists this ribosomal RNA (769 nucleotides) under Bacillus subtilis. RNAcentral describes it as "bacterial SSU rRNA". It matches the Rfam family "Bacterial small subunit ribosomal RNA", at positions 74 to 825 of the family's 1533-position model. Lineage: Bacteria; Bacillati; Bacillota; Bacilli; Caryophanales; Bacillaceae. The record is from RNAcentral.
GGGUAAGCUUGCUCCCUGAUGUUAGCGGCGGACGGGUGAGUAACACGUGGGUAACCUGCCUGUAAGACUGGGAUAACUCCGGGAAACCGGGGCUAAUACCGGAUGGUUGUUUGAACCGCAUGGUUCAAACAUAAAAGGUGGCUUCGGCUACCACUUACAGAUGGACCCGCGGCGCAUUAGCUAGUUGGUGAGGUAACGGCUCACCAAGGCAACGAUGCGUAGCCGACCUGAGAGGGUGAUCGGCCACACUGGGACUGAGACACGGCCCAGACUCCUACGGGAGGCAGCAGUAGGGAAUCUUCCGCAAUGGACGAAAGUCUGACGGAGCAACGCCGCGUGAGUGAUGAAGGUUUUCGGAUCGUAAAGCUCUGUUGUUAGGGAAGAACAAGUACCGUUCGAAUAGGGCGGUACCUUGACGGUACCUAACCAGAAAGCCACGGCUAACUACGUGCCAGCAGCCGCGGUAAUACGUAGGUGGCAAGCGUUGUCCGGAAUUAUUGGGCGUAAAGGGCUCGCAGGCGGUUUCUUAAGUCUGAUGUGAAAGCCCCCGGCUCAACCGGGGAGGGUCAUUGGAAACUGGGGAACUUGAGUGCAGAAGAGGAGAGUGGAAUUCCACGUGUAGCGGUGAAAUGCGUAGAGAUGUGGAGGAACACCAGUGGCGAAGGCGACUCUCUGGUCUGUAACUGACGCUGAGGAGCGAAAGCGUGGGGAGCGAACAGGAUUAGAUACCCUGGUAGUCCACGCCGUAAACGAUGAGUGCUAAGUGUUA